This 484-nucleotide ribosomal RNA is filed under the name uncultured bacterium. Its description in RNAcentral is "bacterial SSU rRNA". It matches the Rfam family "Bacterial small subunit ribosomal RNA", at positions 917 to 1382 of the family's 1533-position model. The record is from RNAcentral.
GGGCUCACACAAGCGGUGGAGCAUGUGGCUUAAUUCGAGGCUACGCGAAGAACCUUAUCCUGGACUUGACAUAUGCGAAAGCGCUGGGAGGUAGGACCCGGAAACGGGAACGAACGGUAUCCAAUCCGGAACCCAGUACAGGUGCUGCAUGGCUGUCGUCAGCUCGUGUCGUGAGAUGUCGGGUUAAGUCCCAUAACGAGCGAAACCCUUGCCCAUUAGUUGCCAGGUUAAUAGCCGACUCUAGGGGGACUGCCGGUGUUAAACCGGAGGAAGGUGGGGAUGACGUCAAGUCCUCAUGGCCUUUAUGUCCAGGGCUGCACACGUGCUACAAUGGCGUGAACAGAGGGACGCAAACCCGCGAGGGGGAGCAAAUCCCAAAAAACACGCCCCAGUUCAGAUCGUAGGCUGCAACUCGCCUGCGUGAAGUUGGAAUCGCUAGUAAUCGCGGGUCAGCAACACCGCGGUGAAUGUGUUCCUGAGCCUU